This 459-nucleotide ribosomal RNA is filed under the name uncultured bacterium. RNAcentral's name for it is "partial 16S ribosomal RNA". It matches the Rfam family "Bacterial small subunit ribosomal RNA", at positions 338 to 795 of the family's 1533-position model. The record is from RNAcentral.
CCUACGGGAGGCAGCAGUGAGGAAUAUUGGUCAAUGGCCGCAGGGCUGAACCAGCCAAGUCGCGUGAGGGAUGACGGUCCUAUGGAUUGUAAACCUCUUUUGUCAGGGAGCAAAGGGCGCCACGUGUGGCGCUUUGCGAGUACCUGAAGAAAAAGCAUCGGCUAACUCCGUGCCAGCAGCCGCGGUAAUACGGAGGAUGCGAGCGUUAUCCGGAUUUAUUGGGUUUAAAGGGUGCGCAGGCGGAAUGUCAAGUCAGCGGUAAAAUUUCGGGGCUCAACCCCGUCGUGCCGUUGAUACUGGCGUUCUUGAGUGAGCGAGAAGUAUGCGGAAUGCGUGGUGUAGCGGUGAAAUGCAUAGAUAUCACGCAGAACUCCGAUUGCGAAGGCAGCAUACCGGCGCUCAACUGACGCUCAUGCACGAAAGCGUGGGUAUCGAACAGGAUUAGAUACCCCAGUAGUC